UCCGCAUUGGUCUAGUGGUUAGGAUCUCCCGCUCUCACCGGGAAGGCCGGGGUUCAAUUCCCCGAUGCGGAA
This 72-nucleotide transfer RNA is filed under the name Ambispora gerdemannii. It matches the Rfam family "tRNA". Rfam says of the family: Transfer RNA (tRNA) molecules are approximately 80 nucleotides in length. Their secondary structure includes four short double-helical elements and three loops (D, anti-codon, and T loops). The record is from Rfam by way of RNAcentral. Lineage: Eukaryota; Fungi; Glomeromycota; Glomeromycetes; Archaeosporales; Ambisporaceae. RNAcentral also lists the same sequence under 2 other names.